AGGACUAACGCUGGCGGCGUGCCUAACACAUGCAAGUCGAACGAAGUAGCAAUACUUAGUGGCAGACGGGUGAGUAACACGUAGUCAACCUGCCCUUCAAUGGGGGAUAACUAGCCGAAAGGUUAGCUAAUACCGCAUACGAUCUCUGAGUGGCAUCACUCGGCGAUGAAAGGAGUAAUCCGUUGAAGGAGGGGACUGCGUCCCAUUAGUUAGUUGGUGGGGUAAUGGCCUACCAAGACUCCGAUGGGUAGCUGGCUUGAGAGAGCGACCAGCCACACUGGAACUGAGACACGGUCCAGACUCCUACGGGAGGCAGCAGUGAGGAAUUUUCCGCAAUGGGGGAAACCCUGACGGAGCGACGCCGCGUGUGGGAAGAAGGCCUUCGGUCGUAACCACUGUCGAGGGGACGAUAUUGACGGUACCCCUGGAGGAAGCCCGGCUAACUACGCGCCAGCAGCCGC
This 461-nucleotide ribosomal RNA is filed under the name uncultured bacterium. RNAcentral's name for it is "SSU rRNA". It matches the Rfam family "Bacterial small subunit ribosomal RNA", at positions 26 to 518 of the family's 1533-position model. The record is from RNAcentral.